AGCGAACGCUGGCGGCAGGCCUAACACAUGCAAGUCGAACGAACUCUUCGGAGUUAGUGGCGGACGGGUGAGUAACACGUGGGAACGUGCCUUUAGGUUCGGAAUAACUCAGGGAAACUUGUGCUAAUACCGAAUGUGCCCUUUGGGGAAAGAUUAUCGCCUUUAGAGCGGCCCGCGUCUGAUUAGCUAGUUGGUGAGGUAAAGGCUCACCAAGGCUACGAUCAGUAGCUGGUCUGAGAGGAUGACCAGCCACAUUGGGACUGAGACACGGCCCAAACUCCUACGGGAGGCAGCAGUGGGGAAUCUUGCGCAAAUGGGCGGAAAAGCCUGACGCAGCCAUGCCGCGUGGAAUGAUGAAGGUCUUAGGAUUGUAAAAAUCCUUUCUACCGGUGAAG
Molecule: ribosomal RNA, 395 nt
Filed under: uncultured bacterium
Lineage: Bacteria
Description: bacterial SSU rRNA
Rfam family: Bacterial small subunit ribosomal RNA
Source: RNAcentral